Molecule: ribosomal RNA, 434 nt
Filed under: uncultured Clostridium sp.
Lineage: Bacteria; Bacillati; Bacillota; Clostridia; Eubacteriales; Clostridiaceae
Description: partial 16S ribosomal RNA
Rfam family: Bacterial small subunit ribosomal RNA
Source: RNAcentral
ACGGAAGGCAGCAGUGGGGGAUAUUGCACAAUGGGGGAAACCCUGAUGCAGCGACGCCGCGUGAGUGAUGAAGUAUUUCGGUAUGUAAAGCUCUAUCAGCAGGAAAGAUAAUGACGGUACCUGACUAAGAAGCACCGGCUAAAUACGUGCCAGCAGCCGCGGUAAUACGUAUGGUGCAAGCGUUAUCCGGAUUUACUGGGUGUAAAGGGAGCGCAGACGGCAUGGCAAGCCAGAUGUGAAAGGCAGGGGCUCAACUCCUGGACUGCAUUUGGAACUGUCAAGCUAGAGUAUCGGAGAGGUAAGUGGAAUUCCUAGUGUAGCGGUGAAAUGCGCAGAUAUUAGGAGGAACACCAGUGGCGAAGGCGGCUUACUGGACGAUAACUGACGUUGAGGCUCGAAAGCGUGGGGAGCAAACAGGAUUAGAUACCCUGGUA